AGCCGUUUGGUUCCAGGUAGGGUUUGCCCUUUCUCAAGGCUUCUCCCAAUUCAGCAAUUCUCAUUAUUUUGGUCACAGAAUUGCCCAUGAAGGCAAAGAUUUUUGUAUUUUUAAAACUCAUGGUUAUUCCCAGUACUUAGAGCCUGGUGUAUAUACUGGUGUAGAUAUAAUUCAGUAAAUUUAAGCACCUAUGAUGUACUGUGGAGGGUCUGGUGAUGAUUAGGAUUGCUCCCCACCUUUAAAGAGCUUACACACACAAGUGGGAGACUGUAAUCAAACCCCAAAUCAAGGCAAAAUGAAACCAGUGCAAUUAUUGAGAAACAUAUUGCUUUUGUGUUUUUUAAUAAAAAAUAUUUCAACUUUUCAUUUAGAAACAGUGGGUAAAUGUGCAAGUUUGUUACAAGGGUAUAUUGUGUGAUGCUGAGGUUUGAGGUACAGAUCCCAUCACCCAGGUAGUGAGCAUAGUACCCAAUAGGUAGUUUUUCAACCUAUCCUUCUGCCCUCCUCACCCACAGUGUUCCAGUCUGCAGUGUCUGUUGUUCCCACCUUUGCAUCCUGAGGUACUCAAUAUUUAGCUCCCAUUUGUUAGAACAUGCAGUACUUGGUUUUCUGUUCUUAAUUUGCUUAGAUUAUGGCUUCCAGCUGUAUCCAUGUGGCUGGCUGCAAAGGACAUGAUUUUGUUCUUUUUAUGGCUGCCUAAUACUCCAUGAUUUAUAUGUACCACAUUUUCUUUAUCCAGUCCACUGUUGAUGGGCAGCCACGUUGAUCUGUCUUUGCUACUGUGAAUAGCACUGUGAUGACCAUAUGUGUUUUUGGUAGAAGGAUUUAUUUCCUUUUGGGAAAUAAACCCAUAUGCUGGGUUGAAUGGUAGAUCUGUUUUAAGUUAUUUGAGAAAUCUCCAAACUGCUUUCCACAGUGACUGAACUAAUUUACAUUCCCACAACAGUGUAUAAAUGUUCUCUUUUCUCUGAAACCUUACUGGCAUGUUAUUAGACUUCUUUACAAUAGCCAUUCUAACUGGUGUGAGAUGGUAUCUUAUUGUGGUUUUGAUUUGCAUUUCUCUGAUGAUUAGUGAUGAGCAUUUUUUCACGUUUGUUGAUUGCUUGUAUGUCUUCUUUUGAGAAGUGUCUGUUCAUGUCCUUCACCCAUUUUUUAAUGGGGUUGUUUUUUGCUUGUUAAGUUCCUUAUUGAUUCUGGAUGUCAGAUCUUUGUUGGAUGUCUAGUUUGCAAAUAUUUUCUCCAAUUCUGUAUGUUGUCUGUUUACUCUGUUGAUAGUGUCUUUUGCUGUGCAGAGUGCUUUAAUUAGGUCCCCACUUGCCAAUUUCUGUUUUGUUGCAAUUGCCUUUGGGGACUUAGCCAAAAGUUCUUUGCCAAGGCUGAUGUUGAUAAGGGUAUUUCCUAGGUUUUCUUCUAGGAUUUUUACAGUUUGAGGUCUUACAUUUAAAUCUUUAAUCCAUCUUGAGUUAAUUUUCAUAUACGGUGAAAGGUGGGGGGUCCAGUUUCAUUCUUCUGCAUAGGGCUAGCCAGUUAUCCCAACACCAUUUAUUGAAUACGGAUAAAAUCCAACAUCCCUCAUGAUAAAACCCCUCAACAGACUAGGUAUCAAAGGAACAUAUCUCAAAAUAAUAAGAGCCAUCUACAACCAACCCACAGACAUCAUACUGGAUGAGCAAAAGCUGGAACUAUUCCUUCUGAGAACUGGAAUAAGAAGAGGAUGCCCAGUCUCAUCGCUCCCAUUCAACUUAGAGCAAUCAGGCAAGAGAAAUAAAUAAAAGGCAUCCAACUGGGAAAAGAAAUCAAACUAGCUCUCUUCGCUGAUAUGAUUUUAUACCUAGAAAACCCCGAAGACUCUGCCAAAAGCUCCUAGACUGAUAAACAACUUUAGUCAAGUUUCAGGAUACAAAAUCAAUGCACAAAAAUUAGGAGCAUUUCUAUACACCAAUAACGUUCAAGCUGAGAGCAAAUCAAGAACCCAAUACCAUUUACAAUAGCCAUAAAAAAACUGAAAUACUUAAAAAUACACCUAACCAAGGAGGUGAAAGAUCUCUACAAGGAGAACUACAAAACAUGGCAGAAAGAAAUCAGGGAUGAAACCAAAAAAUGGAAAAACAUUCCAUGUUCAUGGAUUGGAAGAAUCAAUAUAGUUUAAAAAUGGCCAUACUGCCCAAAGCAAUUUACAGAAUCAAUGCUGUCCUAUCAAACUACCAACCUCAUUUUUCACAGAGGUUGGAACAUUUUCACAGAAUUAGAAAACAACUAUUCUAAAAUUCAGAUGGAACCAAAGAAAGAGCCUGAAUAGCCAAAGCAACCCAAAGCAGAAAGAACAAAGCCAGCAGCAUCACACAGAUGUGGCUUCAAACUAUAAGACCACAGUAACCAAAACAGCACGGCACUGGUACAAUAACAGACACGUAGACCAAUGGAACACAAUAGAGAACACAGAAAUAAAGCUGCACACCUACAGCCAAUAGAUCUUCAGCAAAGCUGAUACAAGCAAGCAAUGGGGAAAGGAACACGUUGUUAAUGGGGGCUCACAAGCAGUAAUUAACUUCAACCAGGGGAUCACAAGACAUUAUCUUCAAAGACAACUUCAUUAGGAAUGUGGAGGUAAUUUUUUGUCAAAUGAUUAUUAAUUUGAACUCUUUUGGAUCCAAGAGACAGAGACCCACCUCAGAAUAGUGUAAGCAAAUAAAAGUACAACUGAUCUGGAGGUGAUACUUGCUUCAGUUCUCCAGGAACUCUUGGCUCAUUUCUUGUGUAUGCUUCCUUUUCAUGGCAGAUGCACAUAAUCCAUGUCACAGGAAAGGGUGGAGUUUUGCCAUGGAUGGCUCCAUCCUCAUAUCACCCCAUGUGCCACUGGAUUGUGUUUAACAGCCAUAGAAGGCUACCUGCAUUUCAGGGCCAGCAAAUAAAAUCCUAUGGAAGGCUUCUGCCCUAUCUAGUUAGGGUUCUGUGCCUAUUUCUUGUCUAAUCAUUGUGGCUUAUGGGGUGGGAAAUAAGGUCUGACCUGAGUCAUGUACUCAUCUCUUGACCAUGGUACAGACAGUGCUGAUUGAGCUGCUGGUGCUUACAGGGACUCACACAAAGCAGAAAAUAAUUUUAACAAGGAGCAGGAAAGGAUUCAAGACAUGGAAUUGGCUAGGAGAGGAUCCAAAAGGAGGGGAAACAGGAUGCUGGGCAGACAAAAACAGGUAGCCAGUACAAUAACUAAAAUGCAAGCAUUUAAAGGCAAAUGGAAUGUAGUUUGCUGUAACAAAAAUAUAGUUUGAUUGUUGAAGGUAGGCAGUGGAGAAGCAGGCAGGAGAGUCAGGUUGGGCAGGCUGUGGGGAGCCUUGAGUGACAGAUGGCAUCAUCAAAGGGCUUUGGUUGUCAUCAGACCUAUGUGUCCCUAUCCCCUUUCUCAUAAACAAUGCCUCUGAAAUGUCUAAGCUGUCAGACUGUCAUGACCAUGCACCAAUCUCUUUCCUUUCACACAUUUACCUUUUCUUUCCCCUCACAGUCCAUACGUACACUGUCCCAUCUCAAUUCUACAUGUAGUCCUUAUAGCCUGGCCACGUAUUUCUCAUCUAAGGUCAGCACCACCUCACGGAAUUGCACUGAAAUUCCUAGACUGUUAAAAAAACAAACACCUAAAACUCGACUUUUAAAGUCACUUUGGUAGCAAAGGUGGGGGAAUGGGAAGGUGAGUGGAAAGGUAGUAGGAGUAGGUUUCUAUCUGGCACGGGUUCUUGGAGUUAGCCUGAAGACCUCAGAGCUAUGGUCACUGACUGAACCCUGGACUGAGAAAUUGUGAAUGAACCAUAAUCAGAAUAUGCCUGUCUUUUCUAAUAUAUAAGUGUACUUUAUCCUCUGAUGUUCUAGAGGGAGUUGUGGCCACUAGCCUUCCUAGUAGAACGGAAUGUGGCAGCCACAGCUGAUGCAUAGGGAGAUCUUUCAAUUUUCAUAAACUUUUUGGAAGAGUUACCACAAACUGUAUGAUGAGGAUUAUUUUCUCCAGAAUGCUUAGAACAGCCUAGUCUGAGGUUGCUCACUGUAGGGCACAACUACUUGUUUCGGGUGAGCAAGAUAACAAACGGAUCAAUUCAGCUAGAGAAACACAGUAUAAUGCAGGAGAAAACAUUUACCUCUCACUUCUUUGAAAUUAUUAAAUGUGCAUGCACCAGUUCCAGCUGAGAAAAUCAGAACUGGACAAUGCCAGAAUAAAAGUUUAAAGUUUCUGUCAUCCAAACUGAUCACUGCAGAGAGAAAACAGAAAUAAUGCAUGCUUCAGUAAAACUGAAGAUUCUGAGAAAACUAACCUGCUUUGGCUAUUGAAAAUAAGAGGUAACAAAGGAAAAGAAAAAGCCUGCCUUCAAAGAGUUGUGAUUGCAGUCAUUGACAACAUUUAGUAGUGUUAGAGAGAGUGAACAUAAGAAGUCAUAGGAGCUGAAAGAAAGGAAACAAGGGUCUCAGGAGAGUUAUGGUGCCAGCUGCUUCUGAGAAAUGUCCCUAUGAGCAAAAAUUCUCCAUCUUCUUACUGGCAAAGUUGGGAUUAUGGCAGCCUUAGAACCAGAAAAUGGUUAUAAUUUUUUGUCAUGAAGCUCAAAGGGAAACAAAAAGUUUGAGAGAUCAAGCAGGGACCGCAGUGGGUGUGGGUACAGUCAAGGGAAGGUAUGAGUGACGCUCCUAGAUAUUCAAUGUCUUCCAGGAGAAAGCAGUAAAGGUCAAGUGUUAACAUACUUGUUUUUCAUCUUACUCCAACAGAAGACCAGAUGUAAUCUUCCUAAAGAAUAUUCCCCAACAUAUCCUGACAACUGUUGGGUGGGGAGGAAGCAAGUUGUACCAUGUUACAUAUAAAUGAAAAACCAUAAGGUAGCAGACAAUACUAAGCAUGCACCCGCCCUUAUACAAACACAAAGGCAGAGGAAAAGUUCACCCUAACAAUCUGCCAAUGGACUAUUUUUGGGGAAUGCACAUACAUACACACACACACCAAAAAACAAAACAAAACACAAUAGUAAAAACUCUUCUCAUAGUCUCCAAAAAGGAUAGUACUUAAAUUUUAAAUUUCUGAGUUAACCUAUGUUGGAACAGUUUUGGAGGUGACCUAUUUGUCAUGAAUUGAUAAAAGGCCCACAUAAACACUAUGGAAAGGAAUGUUAAACAUUAGUUAACACUGUGCAACUUGUUUCCUUAAGUUUGCAUUUGUCACCAGAAUAGAAAACUAACAAAAUAUUUCCUGGAUAUCUUAUUUUUUUCUUGAUUUUCUUUUUGUUGUUUUGUAUUUCUUCUUCUUUUUCCUGGGUAUUUUGAAUCUGAGGCAUAAACGGAAGUCUGUCCAGACCUGAUAGGGUACUCUUAUGAGAGUCUGGAAGAAAGAAGGGACCAACUGCUAACUCAAGCCUACGGCCAUGUGUCAGAUUAAAGCUUGCUGAUGCUUUAAUCUGAGCUUAAAGCAUCAGAUUACAGAGGUGUAUGUGUGGAGGGGAGGUUGGGGGACAAAAACAAAGAGAGGCAGUUUCUGCCCUUUAGGAGUAGUUUCCUAUCGAUUAGGGGAAACAGUCUGGUAUAAGACAUGGUUGGGAAUCAGGGGACUAGGUUCUAAUUCUGACUGUCAUUCAUUGGCCAUGUGAUUGUAUAGGGUGGAAUCGGUCACUUACAAAAUGAAGGAAUCACAUGAGGAGGUGAAACUGUAAAACGAAGGAAUUAAAUGUGAUAGCAUUUCUCUAGGUAAAUGCCAAAUUAAAAAAUAUGGUUAAAUAAAUUUGGAGGCCCCCACGCAGCACCAGAUAGAUUCACAGAGCAUUUAGUGUAGCAAAGGCUCUCAAAGCCCUGCUGUAAGGGAGAUUUUUGAAUUUGUCAAUUCCUAAACUUAGUUUCUGACAUGACACCUGUUAAUAUUUGCAGAAUAUUAUUGAGAAAAGAAUGGUCUCUAUGCCCCUUCCAGCUUUAAAAUUCCAUCAUUAAUAUUUUUUUACUUUACCACUUCCCUCAGUUGUCACUGUAUUUAGUUUUUCAUGGAGUUUGCUGCCUUUCACUUCACUUUUCAUGACCUUUACUGCUAUUUAAAUGCUGACAUGAUACUGUAACAGGGUUGGAUUAAAUGAUCUCUAAAAAUCUGUACAGACCCGGAAAUUUUACAGUUCUUUGAAAACUAUCACAAGCAUCUACUGAAGACUGAAAGAGAAAGCAUAUAACCCAGGCUGUCACCAACUUAGCACUAACAUUUACUAAAUGAGACCUUUGAGAUUCUUAUGUUUUAAGUUCAGCCAGAGUACCAUCAGAUUCCUGGCAGAGGCUUGAGGCACAGGAAUGACAGCGGAAUACAGAUAAGGGAUAGAAAACUUUAGAAUAGCUACAGAGGUCAACUAACCCAAACAUAGUUUAGCAAAACUUAGUUUCUUUUUCUAGUAUAUGAUUGCUACGUUCUUUUUUGCUCUGCCUUGAUCUUUAAUAUUUUACGUGUUUUUAGAAGAGCAAUUUUAAUACAUACACUCAAAUUAGUUUUCUCGAUUGUCCACAUGCCUUACUCAUUAAUUAGCUGAGAAGAUAGAAAUACCAAUCUAAUGGAUCAAAAAGAAAUUUGUCUUCUACUACAGACUUUACAGGAAAAUCUUUUGGCUUGAUCUGACUCCACUGGAAGGGGCUCAUGUACUAUCACUGGAAUGAACAGAGGCACUAGCUGUGAUACGGUACUGACAAUUUCUUUUCCUUUUGUCUACUGUCUAGGUGAUGCAAAGCUGGAAUAUGGUGUGUUAAAUUUUCUGCAGACUAGGAUGCUUCAGCUCCCAAUGAGAAAACAGAGAAAAAAGAGACUAAGGAUGAAUGUUUACAUGUCUGAGGCCUUUAGCGUGAGUAUUCAGCAUGAAGCAUGUUCAGUGUGAGUACUUCAAAAGAUAACAGAUGCCGUUUAACAGAAAGAAGUAAAACUGUCCAGCUCUGUCACCCAAGGUGGAGUGCAGUGGUGCAAUCUUGGCUCACUGAAGCCUUGACCUCCCGGAAUCAUGCAGUCCUACCGACCUCAGCCUCCUGAGUAGCUGGGACCACAGGCGUCUGCCAACACACCCAGCUAAUCUUUGCAUUUUUUGUAGAGUCUGGGUUUCACCAUGUUGUCCAGGUUGGUUUUCAACUCUUGGGCUCAAGUAAUCUUCCCUGCUUGGCCUCCCAAAGUGCUGGGAUUACAGGCAUGAGCUGCCACACCUGGCCAAAAUCCAGUAUAUUUUUAAAUUAUGUCCUAAAACACAGAAACACUGGAUUAUAAACAAGAUUACUGUUGAAAAGAAAGUAUGAACUAACAUAAGGCCUUAGCAAGACUAAUUUUAAAGUAAAAAUAAAGCAAGAUUUAAUCUAAGUCUUAUUCUAACGGUUAAUAAUUCUUGGGAAGCUAACUAAAGUUCAGUGAUCUAAUCAGUACUUGGGAGAAUCAUCAUAGCAUGUACACAAAAUAGAGAAUAAAAUUUUAAUGGUAUCAAAAACAAAACUUUUUUUGG
This 7469-nucleotide long non-coding RNA is filed under the name Homo sapiens (human). Its description in RNAcentral is "HSALNT0211071". The record is from RNAcentral. Lineage: Eukaryota; Metazoa; Chordata; Mammalia; Primates; Hominidae.